AUACCAUGUUAUAAUUCUUAUUGUUAUACCAUGCUAGAAUGCAACAAUUGGGUAAGGACAUCUGGCGGAUGAAUUUCAGACUAACUGAAUUUUGACAUCCAUUAAAAUGAUACAGGAUGGGGUGUGUGACUGUGUGUCCAAGUAACAAGUAACCCUUAAGUUUGUUUUCUUAGCUAAUUUUUGUGUUCCCAUCGAUAAUUCAGCUAUUGACUAUGGGUGUGUUAUUUGCGAUCUAGUAAGUUCAGUGUUACGUGUCUGUUGGAGAAAGAACACUUCAAAGGGAUUGUUUUUUUUCCUGUCUCGCAGUUUCCCUUGUCAUCAGCUAGGCAAGCUGUUGAACCACAAAAUUGUUAGCAGCCCAGGAUGAAACUAUUUCAAAGUAAAAGCACUAAGGAUGUGGACGCUGGAAGAAUUGUGAGCAUCUUACGUUUGUUGAUUUUCAUCAUGCCAUUGUUCAGUGAGAGGAUACAAUUCUACCCACCAAUCUACCCAUAAGCUUUAACGCUAUCAUCUUAUUAGGAAUGUAAUCCCAACAUUAGGGCUGCGAGCCUUCGUCUUUGUUUCUACGCAAACCACCGUCCAGAUGAUUUCCGCAUUUCUAUCCAUCAGACUGCACGCAUUAAGUAAUUCCAUCAAUUCAGAACAACUAUGUUCAAAGCCAACUUCAGGAUUUCGGUCUUGCUGUUUUCUUCCUUCGCCUUCGCCUCAUCGCUGUCCUCAAUCCAUCUAUCCGAUAACGUCAUGACUUGAACGAAAUGACGAAUGACGAAUGACGAAUGACGCCAACGCCAUCGCCAUCGCCAUCGACAUCGCCAUCGCCAUCGCCAUCGCCAUCGCCAUCGCCAUCACCAUCACCAUCGCAUCGCCAUCAGAAUCACCAUCACCAUCACCGCUGCCGUUGCCGCAGCCGCCGUCUUCGCCUUUGCCUUCGCCAUCCCGUUCACGCUUCACAGAAAAGUCGGUCACAAUUGGAUUUGGUUCAGCAAACAGCCCACGGCGAUGGUGGAUUUCACCGUGGAUCGUCCUCGUGGUAUUGUUUUGUUUUGCAUUGUAUCUUGUAUGUAUAAGUUAACCCGUUGGCUGCCACCCCGUUUGCGUCCCAUUUUUUUUGUAGCUUUUAGGGAACCGGGCGCUGUUCUGCCCCAUGGCCAUGGGGGGGAACAGUCGCCGCGCCUAAAGGCUUUGUGCCUUUAGGCGCCGUAGGCAAUGCACCAGUAGGGACUUCUCUUUGUCGGUGCGGUGAUAGAUUCCUGGGGUGUGCAUUCCCGGAAUGGUUUCUAUUGCCGUGCCAGCCCGGACUUGUCUUCGGACAAGUCCCACCUUGUUCGUGAUCCUUCAGACGCGAUGCGUAGCUAAUGUAGUUUAAGCAACCUACGGGUUGCAUGGCCUGGCAGCCAACGGGUUAACUUAGUUAAGUGUGUAUGUUUGUAUGUAUGUAUGUUUAUGUAUUUUACAUUUAUGUAAUAUUUUGUGUUGUAUAAAAAAGUGGUGGAAU
Daphnia magna is the source of this 1495-nucleotide long non-coding RNA. RefSeq lists it as uncharacterized. The transcript has 5 exons. Lineage: Eukaryota; Metazoa; Arthropoda; Branchiopoda; Diplostraca; Daphniidae. The record is from RefSeq and is a predicted model, not a curated record.